CCUUCCACUAAGUACAACUGAAAACCGUGACACUAUAUAUAAAACAAACAUAAGAAGACUCUGAAAGGCAAGAAUGGGUUUUCUUUUGCCUCCUUUAUUCCAGACUUGUAACUGAAGAAGCCAUCAACCAAGAAAUUUCCAACAGACCCAGAUGGAAAAAGUCCCAGUGAAAGCCUGUUCUUUAGCCAAAGGGGCCAGAAAAGAGCAAGAUAGCAGGACAAGUGUCAUUGAGGAGAAUUUGCCUAGGAGAUGCAAAGAGAGAGAAGCCUAUACUUUGAGGGUGGAAGCCCCUCCAACAGGCAACAUGACUGCAGCACAAUCAACUAUGGCUUUGCUGAUCUCGUGUAUCAUCAUCCUCAUCAUCCUCAUCCCCGCAAUUGCAGCAAACGUCCAGUUGUGCACUUACUGCUGAUGAUGAAUAAAUGUAUAGAACAGGAAAAAAUGUAUCUCACCUUCAGACAGAAGGUUGCACUCACAUCCUUAGCAGUUAUAAACAAGGCUUAAAAACAAGACUGAGUUUACAUGAAUGAUUUGUUUUUAGACUGAGGGCUAUAUGAUUGCUUUGGUAGUAGUGGUCCCUAAUGGAGCUAUGUUAAUUGGCAUCUGGGUUAGAAAAGAAAAAUUAAUAUGGCCCUCAGAGGCAAGAACUGGGGCUCGUCUACAUUUAGUGGAAUCUUUCAGAGCCUCUUUAGAGGGGCACACACCCUAGAGAGGAUGAUGAAGACAAAAAUUUUGAAUGUUGGAAAAAAAUUGUGUUUGAAGAAUAAAUUACAUAGAACAUAUAUGUGUGUGUGUGUGUGUG
This 802-nucleotide long non-coding RNA is filed under the name Homo sapiens (human). RNAcentral describes it as "novel transcript". Lineage: Eukaryota; Metazoa; Chordata; Mammalia; Primates; Hominidae. The record is from RNAcentral.